CAGAAGCAGCAGCGCGCAAAUUACCCACUCCCGGCACGGGGAGGUAGUGACGAAAAAUAACGAUACGGGACUCAUCCGAGGCCCCGUAAUCGGAAUGAGCACACUUUAAACCCUUUAACGAGUAUCCAUUGGAGGGCAAGUCUGGUGCCAGCAGCCGCGGUAAUUCCAGCUCCAAUAGCGUAUAUUAAAGUUGUUGCGGUUAAAAAGCUCGUAGUUGGAUUUGUGUCCCACGCUGUCGGUUCACCGUUCGUCGGUGUUUAACUGGCAUGCCCGUGCGGACGUCCUGCCGGUGGAUGCGGUCGACCGUGGGCCUCUGGUCUGCGCGUCGGCGGUCCGAUGCAAUCCUACCGCGGUGCUCUUUACCGAGUGUCGAGGUGGGCCGGCACGUUUACUUUGAACAAAUUAGAGUGCUCAAAGCAGGCAGUGGUUCGCCUGAAUAUUGUGUGCAUGGAAUAAUGGAAUAGGACCUCGGUUCUAUUUUGUUGGUUUUCGGAACUUGAGGUAAUGAUUAAUAGGGACAGACGGGGGCAUUCGUAUUGCGACGUUAGAGGUGAAAUUCUUGGAUCGUCGCAAGACGAACCUAAGCGAAAGCAUUUGCCAUGGGUGUUUUCAUUAGUCAAGAACGAAAGUUAGAGGUUCGAAGGCGAUCAGAUACCGCCCUAGUUCUAACCAUAAACGAUGCCAGCUAGCGAUCCGCCGAAGUUCCUCCGAUGACUCGGCGGGCAGCUUCCGGGAAACCAAAGCUUUUGGGUUCCGGGGGAAGUAUGGUUGCAAAGCUGAAACUUAAAGGAAUUGACGGAAGGGCACCACCAGGAGUGGAGCCUGCGGCUUAAUUUGACUCAACACGGGAAACCUCACCAGGCCCGGACACCGGAAGGAUUGACAGAUUGAGAGCUCUUUCUUGAUUCGGUGGGUGGUGGUGCAUGGCCGUUCUUAGUUGGUGGAGCGAUUUGUCUGGUAUC
Molecule: ribosomal RNA, 962 nt
Filed under: Pseudophasma acanthonotus
Lineage: Eukaryota; Metazoa; Arthropoda; Insecta; Phasmatodea; Pseudophasmatidae
Description: SSU rRNA
Rfam family: Eukaryotic small subunit ribosomal RNA
Source: RNAcentral